Molecule: ribosomal RNA, 468 nt
Filed under: uncultured bacterium
Lineage: Bacteria
Description: partial 16S ribosomal RNA
Rfam family: Bacterial small subunit ribosomal RNA
Source: RNAcentral
GACGAACGCUGGCGGCGUGCUUAACACAUGCAAGUCGAACGAAAAGGCCCUGCUUUUGUGCGGUGCUCGAUUGGCGAACGGGGGUGUAACACGUGAGUAACCUGCCCUUAUCUUUGUGAUAACUUCAGGAAACUGGGGCUAAUACCGGAUAGGAUCUCCUGCUGCGUGUGGUGGGUUGGUAAGUUUCGGCGGUUGUGGAUGGACUCGCGGCUUAUGCGCUUGCUUGUGGGGUAGUGGCUUACCAAGGGUUUGACGGGUAGCCUGCCUGGGAGGGUGACCGGCGACAUUGGGACUGAGAUACGGCGCAGUCUGCUACGUGCGGCAACAGGGGAGAAUCUUGCACAAUGGGGGGAAGUCUGAGGCAGAGACGCUCGGUGCGGGAUGACCGGUUACGGGGUGAAAACCGCUUUGGACGGUGACGAACAGGGCGUGACGGUACUGGGUAAAGAAGCACCGGCUAACUACGUG